This 533-nucleotide ribosomal RNA is filed under the name uncultured bacterium. RNAcentral describes it as "bacterial SSU rRNA". It matches the Rfam family "Bacterial small subunit ribosomal RNA", at positions 977 to 1509 of the family's 1533-position model. The record is from RNAcentral.
GGCCUUGACAUACUAAGAACUUUCCAGAGAUGGAUUGGUGCCUUCGGGAACUUAGAUACAGGUGCUGCAUGGCUGUCGUCAGCUCGCGUCGUGAGAUGUUGGGUUAAGUCCCGCAACGAGCGCAACCCUUUUCCUUAUUUGCCAGCGGGUCAUGCCGGGAACUUUAAGGAUACUGCCAGUGACAAACUGGAGGAAGGCGGGGACGACGUCAAGUCAUCAUGGCCCUUACGGCCAGGGCUACACACGUGCUACAAUGGUCGGUACAAAGGGUUGCUACCUCGCGAGAGGAUGCUAAUCUCAAAAAGCCGAUCGUAGUCCGGAUCGCAGUCUGCAACUCGACUGCGUGAAGUCGGAAUCGCUAGUAAUCGCGGAUCAGAAUGCCGCGGUGAAUACGUUCCCGGGCCUUGUACACACCGCCCGUCACACCAUGGGAGUUUGUUGCACCAGAAGUAGGUAGUCUAACCGCAAGGAGGACGCUUACCACGGUGUGGCCGAUGACUGGGGUGAAGUCGUAACAAGGUAAGCGUAGAUGA